UACGAAGGGGGCUAGCGUUGCUCGGAAUCACUGGGCGUAAAGGGUGCGUAGGCGGGUCUUUUAAGUCAGAGGCGAAAUCCUGGAGCUCAACUCCAGAACUGCCUUUGAUACUGAGGAUCUUGAGUUCGGGAGAGGUGAGUGGAACUGCGAGUGUAGAGGUGAAAUUCGUAGAUAUUCGCAAGAACACCAGUGGCGAAGGCGGCUCACUGGCCCGAUACUGACGCUGAGGCACGAAAGCGUGGGGAGCAAACAGG
Molecule: ribosomal RNA, 254 nt
Filed under: uncultured bacterium
Lineage: Bacteria
Description: partial 16S ribosomal RNA
Rfam family: Bacterial small subunit ribosomal RNA
Source: RNAcentral